AUUGAACGCUGGCGGCAUGCCUUACACAUGCAAGUCGAACGACGCCAGGGGCGAACUCCUGGCGAGUGGCAAACGGGUGAGUAAUACAUCGGAAUGUAUCCCGUCGUGGGGACGAACCAGUCGAAAGACUGGCUAAUACCGCAUGAGAUCGAAAGAUGAAAGCGGGGAGUCCGCAAGGACCUCGCGCGAUGGGAGCAGCCGAUGUCGGAUUAGCUAGUUGGCGGGGUAAAAGCCCACCAAGGCGACGAUCCGUAGCUGGUUUGAGAGAACGACCAGCCACACUGGGACUGAGACACAGCCCAGACUCCUACGGGAGGCAGCAGUGGGGAAUUUUGGACAAUGGGCGAAAGCCUGAUCCAGCCAUGCCGCGUGUGUGAAGAAGGCCUCGGUUGUAAG
RNAcentral lists this ribosomal RNA (396 nucleotides) under uncultured bacterium. RNAcentral describes it as "bacterial SSU rRNA". It matches the Rfam family "Bacterial small subunit ribosomal RNA", at positions 29 to 429 of the family's 1533-position model. The record is from RNAcentral.